Molecule: unclassified non-coding RNA, 240 nt
Filed under: soil metagenome
Description: partial contains 5.8S ribosomal RNA, internal transcribed spacer 2, and large subunit ribosomal RNA
Source: RNAcentral
AACCUUAUGGACCUGCGGGCGUAUACCUGCGGAAGGAUCAUUAUUGAAUAAACUUGGUCAGGCUGUUGCUGGUCCUUCGGGGCAUGUGCACGCUUGCCACCAAUUUUAACCACCUGUGCACCUUUUGUAGAUUGGAAACGUUUCUCGAGGCAACUCGGAUUGAGGACUGCUGUGCGCAAGCCAGCUGUUCUUGUGUUUCUCAAUCUAUGUUUUCAUAUACUCCUAAUGUAUGUAUCAGAA